CGGCUCAUUGGGUAUUGUUUCUGA
This 24-nucleotide unclassified non-coding RNA is filed under the name Mus musculus (house mouse). Its description in RNAcentral is "oocyte_clustered_small_RNA5582". The record is from RNAcentral. Lineage: Eukaryota; Metazoa; Chordata; Mammalia; Rodentia; Muridae.